AUGCUCAUUUCGACAGCACAUAGCCUAAAAUUGGAAGGACACAGAGAAGAUUAGCAUGGCCGCUGCGCGAGGAUGACACGCAAACUCAUGAAGCAUAAAUAAAAAAA
This is a small nuclear RNA of Chionomys nivalis (European snow vole), 107 nucleotides long. The record is from RefSeq and is a predicted model, not a curated record. Lineage: Eukaryota; Metazoa; Chordata; Mammalia; Rodentia; Cricetidae.